RNAcentral lists this ribosomal RNA (405 nucleotides) under Chitinophaga ginsengisoli. RNAcentral describes it as "bacterial SSU rRNA". It matches the Rfam family "Bacterial small subunit ribosomal RNA", at positions 22 to 451 of the family's 1533-position model. Lineage: Bacteria; Pseudomonadati; Bacteroidota; Chitinophagia; Chitinophagales; Chitinophagaceae. The record is from RNAcentral.
GCUCAGAACGAACGCUGGCGGCAUGCCUAACACAUGCAAGUCGAACGAAGUGCCUUUGGGUGCUUAGUGGCGCACGGGUGCGUAACGCGUGGGAAUCUGCCCUUAGGUUCGGAAUAACAGCUGGAAACGGCUGCUAAUACCGGAUGAUGACGAAAGUCCAAAGAUUUAUCGCCUGAGGAUGAGCCCGCGUUGGAUUAGGUAGUUGGUGGGGUAAAGGCCUACCAAGCCGACGAUCCAUAGCUGGUCUGAGAGGAUGAUCAGCCACACUGGGACUGAGACACGGCCCAGACUCCUACGGGAGGCAGCAGUGGGGAAUAUUGGACAAUGGGCGAAAGCCUGAUCCAGCAAUGCCGCGUGAGUGAUGAAGGCCCUAGGGUUGUAAAGCUCUUUUACCCGGGAAGAUAA